This 20-nucleotide microRNA is filed under the name Aquilegia coerulea. Its description in RNAcentral is "aqc-miR477g". Its record names the gene aqc-miR477g. Lineage: Eukaryota; Viridiplantae; Streptophyta; Magnoliopsida; Ranunculales; Ranunculaceae. The record is from miRBase by way of RNAcentral.
CUCUCCCUCAAGUUCUUCUA